RNAcentral lists this ribosomal RNA (386 nucleotides) under Gobiodon histrio (broad-barred goby). RNAcentral's name for it is "partial 12S ribosomal RNA". It matches the Rfam family "Bacterial small subunit ribosomal RNA", at positions 794 to 1384 of the family's 1533-position model. The record is from RNAcentral. Lineage: Eukaryota; Metazoa; Chordata; Actinopteri; Gobiiformes; Gobiidae.
GCCUAGCCCUAAACAGACAAUCAUUUUACAAUCGUUUUUCGCCAGGGAACAACGAGCCUCAGCUUAAAACCCAAAGGACUUGGCGGUGCUUUAGACCCACCUAGAGGAGCCUGUCCUAGAACCGAUAAUCCCCGUUUAACCUCACCCCCUCUUGUUCUUUUCCGCCUGUAUACCUCCGUCUUCAGCUCACCCUGUGAGGGCCUAGUAGUGAGCAAAAUUGGCAAUGCCUAAAACGUCAGGUCGAGGUGCAGCUUAUGAGGGGGGAAGAGAUGGGCUACAUUUUCUGCCCCAGAAAAUACGAAUUUUGCCCUGAAAAAGCAUCUGAAGGUGGAUUUAGCAGUAAGGAGAGACUAGAGCGCUCUCCUGAAGCCGGCCCUAAAGCGCGU